AUCCAAAACUGAAAGCUCAAGAAAAUGGGCCCUCUAAACCCCUAAUAAAUCCUCACCCUUCUCAGUUAGAUUUACUCGAUUCACAGGUCGCCGACGCUCACGGCGGCCGCCACACUCUCACGGAAACAAGUGCUUGUUUAUUUUGACUCAAGUGGAUGGCUGCAAAAUUGCAAGCGAAAGAUGCAGAGGAAUGGACUUACAGAGGAGAAGGAGCUGUGAAUCUUGUUCUUGCUUAUUGUGGAAGCUCUCCUCAUUUCGUUGGAAAGGUUUUAAGGAUACAAAAAGUUUCAAAUGAUAGGCGUGAAUGUGAGAAUGGUCAUUCAGCUCUAGUGAACCAUGAAUCCCUCUUGUGGGGAAAAUUUGAAGGUAUAGUUUCAGCACCUACAAAGGAAAUUGCGGAGCAUGUUUAUGUGCAGAAAGUAAUGUGCCCACUCUUGGGAUCAGAGCAUGUUGAUGCAGGGAUCCAUGUUCUUGUGUCAAGAGAAUUUUUGGAGGCAGUUGACAACAAGGUUCUUUGCCAGCGUCCAUCAUGGCGUGUUGAUGCUGCCAGAGUUAAUCCCCUUCGUGACUCGGCUCUUCUAAUUACUGAUCAUUCAGUGUUUCCUCAUGCUUCAGGUUCUCUCAAAGAGGAUUUCUGUGUGUCUGUUGAGAUAAAGCCCAAAGGCGGAUUUCUUCCUACCUCAGAAUUUAUAGCUGAGGGAAAUGCAGUUAAAAAGAGACUUACUCGAUUUAAGAUGCACCAAGCUCUAAAAUUACAUCAACGAAAGAUAUCUCAAAUAAGUCAAUAUGAUCCUCUAGAUUUGUUUUCUGGAUCCAAGGAUAGAAUACAAAGAGCAUUUAAAGGCCUCUUUCUUACACCUCAGAAUAAUUUUCGAGUUUUCUUAAAUGGUUCGAUUAUUUUUGGAGGCAUGGGGGGCACUGCAGACAGCACUAGUUCUGCGGUUGCUCAAUCAUUCCAUGAUGGACUUAAACAUGUUAUUUCAGCAAAGGAUGGGAUGCACAUCAAGGGUUUAGUGGAUCUUCUCACUGAAACUAUUUAUAAGUCUGGCUUGUUGAAUCGGCUUCUUGAAGUACAGAAGCUUGAUGCUAUUGAUAUAGAAGGUGCAAUUCAUGCCUACUAUGACAUUAUUUCUCAGCCUUGCGUGGUCUGUCGGAAAAUAGGUGGAAAAAGAUUCUCAGCAAGAUAUUCAUCAAUUCAUUCAAUGCAAAGGGAUGAUAAAGUGAAAAUUGUGAGGGAUUACUUGAUAUCAGCCACAGCAAAGGACUUAAGUAUGAUGAUUAGUUUUAAGCCCAAAAUAAAUAUGGAUGAGGAGUCUCCACAUCGUGCUGUCUUUCUGGAAGCAAGCAAGCAAACCUUUUGUUACAAGGCAUUUUUCAUUGACCUGGACAUGAAACCAUUGAAGAAAAUGGAAUAUUACUAUGAGCUGGAUCAACAAAUAGUCAACUACUAUGUCCAGAUGUUAAAAGAUACAGAUGUGCUUGAUUGUGAUGAGACAACCCAUGAGUCACUGAACGCGUGCACCAGUGUUAAAAAUGGUGAAAUGACAAAUUGAUUGAGGAGCUUAAAAGAAAGAUAUAGAUCAGCUUUCUUUUCUAUGAAGAAAGGGAUUUUUUUGCAGACUUCCUGGAUUUCUUAGAUCAAUUUUCUGACUACAGCCACUUUAAACCUGAGGAUAAGGUUAUGGCAUGCCGACAUGACUGGCCACACAGUUCAUUUUGAUGAGUUCAAAAAGACACAUUUAAGUUGAAAGCCACAAACUGAAGAGAAGCUCCUCUAUAAAUGGAUGGUACCAAUUAGUCGUGGCAAUAAUCCUCUGCGCUUCACGAAAAUGGCAAAGCCUAUUAUAACUAUCGCCCCAUGAUAUGAAGAUGCUCAAUGUUUAUAACACAAUUAUGAAACACUCAUAUUCAUUAGAUAUUCCAUUCCUUGAUACACCCAAACUGUAUUAUCACACUUGUUCUAUUUUUGAAGUACUUUUGCAUAUGUCAGUAAUAAGGAAAGAUCAUUGUCCGAUAUGUCAGUAGUUUCGAAGGGCAAUAUGGUGCUGAAUUUUAGGUUUAAUAUUUGAUGACACUGUAUAAGUGCGUUGAACCAAGUGACUCAUGGUGCAAAGUACUCCAUCCGUCCCAUAAUAGAUGUCACACUUGGAUGAUGACACGAGAUUUUAGGAGAUAUUGUUUGUUUAAGUGGUGA
Salvia hispanica is the source of this 2194-nucleotide RNA transcript. It is a transcript of the gene named inositol-pentakisphosphate 2-kinase-like, with no coding region annotated. Lineage: Eukaryota; Viridiplantae; Streptophyta; Magnoliopsida; Lamiales; Lamiaceae. The record is from RefSeq and is a predicted model, not a curated record.